RNAcentral lists this ribosomal RNA (292 nucleotides) under uncultured bacterium. RNAcentral describes it as "partial 16S ribosomal RNA". The record is from RNAcentral.
GGACUACCGGGGUUUCUAAUCCUGUUUGCUCCCCAUGCUUUCGCGCCUCAGCGUCAGUAUGAAUCCAGUAAGUCGCCUUCGCCACUGGUGUUCUUUCCGAUAUCUACGCAUUUCACCGCUACACCGGAAAUUCCACUUACCUCUAUUCUACUCAAGCUUCGCAGUCUUAAAUGCAGUUCCCAAGUUAAGCUCGGGGAUUUCACAUCUAACUUACCAAACCGCCUACGCGCCCUUUACGCCCAGUAAUUCCGAUUAACGCUCGCACCCUCUGUAUUACCGCGGCUGCUGGCAC